This 408-nucleotide ribosomal RNA is filed under the name uncultured prokaryote. Its description in RNAcentral is "bacterial SSU rRNA". It matches the Rfam family "Bacterial small subunit ribosomal RNA", at positions 355 to 776 of the family's 1533-position model. The record is from RNAcentral.
UGGGGAAUAUUGCACAAUGGGCGCAAGCCUGAUGCAGCGACGCCGCGUGGGGGAUGAAGGCCUUCGGGUUGUAAACCCCUUUCAGCAGGGAAGAAGCGAAAGUGACGGUACCUACAGAAGAAGCUCCGGCUAACUACGUGCCAGCAGCCGCGGUAAUACGUAGGGAGCAAGCGUUAUCCGGAUUCAUUGGGCGUAAAGCGCGCGUAGGCGGCUUAUUAAGUCAGGUGUCAAAUCUGAGGGCUCAACCCCCAGCCGCACCUGAAACUGGUAGGCUCGAGUUCGGUAGAGGAAAGUGGAAUUCCCAGUGUAGCGGUGGAAUGCGCAGAUAUUGGGAAGAACACCGGUGGCGAAGGCGGCUUUCUGGGCCGUAACUGACGCUGAGGCGCGAAAGCUAGGGGAGCAAACAGG